This 490-nucleotide ribosomal RNA is filed under the name uncultured bacterium. Its description in RNAcentral is "partial 16S ribosomal RNA". It matches the Rfam family "Bacterial small subunit ribosomal RNA", at positions 28 to 507 of the family's 1533-position model. The record is from RNAcentral.
GAUGAACGCUAGCUACAGGCUUAACACAUGCAAGUCGAGGGGCAGCAUGGUCUUAGCUUGCUAAGGCCGAUGGCGACCGGCGCACGGGUGAGUAACACGUAUCCAACCUGCCGUCUACUCUUGGACAGCCUUCUGAAAGGAAGAUUAAUACAAGAUGGCAUCAUGAGUCCGCAUGUUCACAUGAUUAAAGGUAUUCCGGUAGACGAUGGGGAUGCGUUCCAUUAGAUAGUAGGCGGGGUAACGGCCCACCUAGUCUUCGAUGGAUAGGGGUUCUGAGAGGAAGGUCCCCCACAUUGGAACUGAGACACGGUCCAAACUCCUACGGGAGGCAGCAGUGAGGAAUAUUGGUCAAUGGGCGCAGGCCUGAACCAGCCAAGUAGCGUGAAGGAUGACUGCGCUAUGGGUUGUAAACUUCUUUUAUAAAGGAAUAAAGUCGGGUAUGUAUACCCGUUUGCAUGUACUUGAUGAAUAAGGAUCGGCUAACUCCGUG